Molecule: ribosomal RNA, 301 nt
Filed under: uncultured bacterium
Lineage: Bacteria
Description: partial 16S ribosomal RNA
Rfam family: Bacterial small subunit ribosomal RNA
Source: RNAcentral
CAGCCGCCACGGUAAUACGUAGGUGGCAAGCGUUGUCCGGAAUUAUUGGGCGUAAAGGGCUCGCAGGCGGUUUCUUAAGUCUGACGUGAAAGCCCCCGGCUCAACCGGGGAGGGUCAUUGGAAACUGGGAGACUUGAGUGCAGAAGAGGAGAGUGGAAUUCCACGUGUAGCGGUGAAAUGCGUAGAGAUGUGGAGGAACACCAGUGGCGAAGGCGACUCUCUGGUCUGUAACUGACGCUGAGGAGCGAAAGCGUGGGGAGCGAACAGGAUUAGAUACCCCCGUAGUCCCUGUCUCUUAUAC